AUCAGAGUGGGCGCAGCGGAAGCGUGGUGGGCCCAUAACCCACAGGUCCCAGGAUCGAAACUUGGCUCUGAUA
This is a transfer RNA of Ipomoea nil (Japanese morning glory), 73 nucleotides long. It matches the Rfam family "tRNA". Rfam says of the family: Transfer RNA (tRNA) molecules are approximately 80 nucleotides in length. Their secondary structure includes four short double-helical elements and three loops (D, anti-codon, and T loops). The record is from Rfam. NCBI's taxonomy places the organism in Eukaryota, Viridiplantae, Streptophyta, Magnoliopsida, Solanales, Convolvulaceae.